This is a long non-coding RNA of Toxorhynchites rutilus septentrionalis, 2635 nucleotides long. RefSeq lists it as uncharacterized. NCBI's taxonomy places the organism in Eukaryota, Metazoa, Arthropoda, Insecta, Diptera, Culicidae. The record is from RefSeq and is a predicted model, not a curated record. The transcript is spliced from 3 exons.
CCCAACGUUUUUCAGUGCGUCUUCCAAUAGACACGCCAUAAGGGCCGAAAUAAUCUGUGCCUGUAUACGUGAAUGGCUUACAAUAUGGUGUAGUUCUAGAACGUGGUAGGGCUGCCAUCAUUGGAGGAAUUGGCUCCGCAGACAUAUUUUUACAAAAUUGGCACUUCCUUCUAACUGUCUUAAUAGCAACUCUGAUGUUUGUUAUCCAGAAUUUUUGUCGCACUGCCGCUAUGGCAGUCUCCAGGUUUUUAUGUCGAUAUUUUUCGUGAUAAUGACGUAAUAUCAAAGUGCUCACAUAAUGCUUGUAGGACAGAAUGAUAGGUGUUCUGGCUGAAGUUGGUAAACAGUUAGCGUUCUCAAUACGUCCCUUUGAUCUCAUUAUUCCAUCCGUGCAAAUUUCCGGGCUAAGUGCUCGAAUUUCACUUCCCUUAUGAAUUUUCAUUUUAUUUUGUAAGAGUUCCAUUUCUUUGGGAUAUGACUCCCAUUGAGCCUUAUAUAUUAAAACGAGCUCAGCAUAAUCCAGGUCCUCCUUGUCAAUAUUUUUAUUGAAGCUUUGGUUCCUGCAUUUUGAUUUCAGCCAAUCGAUAUAUUUGAAUGCAAUUGCAACAGAACGCUUCAAUCUCACAAAAUCCGAACACCAAUUUAUGUGAAUGCUUUUCAGACCACUAAACUCUUUCGAUUGAAUAGUGUGCAGUGGUCUUAAUUCUUCGUCAGUGUCGCUUCUCUGAACUUCAUUUGGCCAGUUUUCUUCAUUAUCAUAUAAGAACUGUGGGCCUGUAAACCAGAUUGAAUUACUAUUUGAUAAUUUCGUAGCUUCAUCCGCUGGAUUAUUCCUACUAUUCACCCAUUUCCACUGGUUUACGUAUGUGGUUUCUAAUAUUUCUCCUAUCCGUAAGGCAACAAACUGUUUGUACUUGCGUGGUUCUGAACGAAUCCAUGCUAAUACAGUUUUGGAAUCUGACCAAAAUACUACUCUAUCUAUUGAUAGACGUAGCUCGUUUUUUACUGUCUUAGCCAAUCUGCUUCCUAAUACAGCGGCUUGUAAUUCGAGUCGUGGUAUGGAAAGCAUUUUAGUUGGUGCGACUCUUGCCUUGGCAGCCACGAUAUUGACAUCAAUGUGUGACUCAUAUACACUCCUUAAGUAUACUGCUGCUGCAUAAGCAUUCUCAGAUGCAUCAACGAAGACAUGUAGUUCUCGUUCUUUUGGGUGAGAAGAAUUGGCAUAUGAACGUGGUAUUCUUAUUGCUCUUGCUUCUUCCAGUUUUGUGUGCCAGUUCUCCCAUUUUUUCUUUAGUGCUGGGUUUAAUUGUUCAUCCCAUGUUAUUCCACUUUUCCAGAGCUCCUGCAUUAGAAUUCGAGAUUGAAUUGUUAUAUGUGAUAAUAAACCAAGUGGAUCGUAAACACUCAUGCUUUGUGAAAGCAGUUUUCGUUUCGUAAACUCCUGUGUAACAGGAAUAUCCACCUUGUAGCGAAUAAAAUCCUUUUUUGUAUCCCAAUACACUCCGAGUACUUUUUCAUAUGAUUCCUCAAAUUUUCCUAAUAAGUCUUCUUUAACUUCCGUUCUAUUUUCUUCCGGGAUUUGUCCCAAUAGCUCAUUACUGUUGGAUAUAAAAUUUCUGAUAUUGAAGUGCCCAUAUUUGUGAAUGGUAAUAACUUCGUUCACAAUUUUUGAGGCAUUUUCUAAAUCGUCGAAACUAUCUAGGUAGUCAUCCACGUAAUGGUUGUUUUGAAUGGCCUCUACUGCCUGAAGAUGACUUUCUCUGAAUUUCUCAGCAUUUGUGUUUUUAACAAACUGUGCGCAUGCGGGCGAGCAGGUAGCUCCAAAGGUCAUCACUUGCAUCACAUACACGUCGGGAUCUUCGUCAAAGUUUUCCCUAAAUAAAAACCUUUGGGCAUUUUGAUCUUCCUUUCUUAUUUUAACUUGAUGAAACAUUUCUUUGAUGUCUCCAGUUAUCGCAAAUUUUCCUUCUCUAAAUCGUAUUAACACUCCAAAUAGCGACGUCGUUGCAUCCGGGCCUUGUAAUAAAUUCGUGUUUAGGGACUCUCCCUUAACCUUAGCAGCGGCAUCAAAAACAAGCCGUGGCUUUAUGGGCUGUUUAUUUAGGUUCACAACUGUAAAGUGCGCCCUAUACACUUAUGCUAUUUGCCUUAAACAGCAUUUGAAUCAUCUAUUUAGUCAGACCCACUCUGACGUUAGACCUAUCUCUUCCACGUUCACAUCUAACGACUUUACGGCUCAAAAUUACUCCAUCAAAAUAUGAAAUUGUCAUCAGCCUGGAUUCUAUAAACAUCAAUUAAUAUUCUGGAAGAGUUUUAAAUUGUCGAACAAAUACCAUGGUAUAGUUAUAACCACGCGGAUUUCAUCCGGGGAAAGUCUAAUCCAUGACGACAGUGACAACAUCACAGAAUCUGAAUGUAAAAUUCCGAAAAUUUCUGAAAGUCUUGAGAAAUUCUAUCCAUCGGUCCAGAAAUGACAAAAUACCAAAAAGUUGUGCCAAAUGUCAAAGAUUGCAUGAAAUAUGGCGACAGAAAGUAUUGGAAAUCGAAAUUUAAUUAGCUAAGCUAGCAGCUCGAAGUUUCAUAGCACCUCAGUAAAGUGUUCAGUUAAAACCAAAUUCAAAUGGCACGAUAGCAG